This 301-nucleotide ribosomal RNA is filed under the name uncultured bacterium. Its description in RNAcentral is "partial 16S ribosomal RNA". It matches the Rfam family "Bacterial small subunit ribosomal RNA", at positions 509 to 807 of the family's 1533-position model. The record is from RNAcentral.
CAGUCGCCGCGGUAAUACGGAGGGGGCUAGCGUUGUUCGGAAUUACUGGGCGUAAAGCGCACGUAGGCGGCUUGGUAAGUUAGAGGUGAAAGCCCGGAGCUCAACUCCGGAAUUGCCUUUAAGACUGCCGAGCUAGCAGGUGAGAGAGGUAAGUGGAAUUCCGAGUGUAGAGGUGAAAUUCGUAGAUAUUCGGAAGAACACCAGUGGCGAAGGCGGCUUACUGGCUCAUACUGGACGCUGAGGUGCGAAAGCGUGGGGAGCAAACAGGAUUAGAUACCCCAGUAGUCCCUGUCUCUUAUAC